CAUAAUCAAGAAACAACGUGUCAAAAUAAAGAUUCUUUUUUACAGUAUCAUUAAUGGAUAAUGAUAUCGGAAUCUUUAAAUGGUGCGGCGAAAUGACGUUUUCUAGUUGUGAUACCACAGAUAAUGGUAUCAAAGUUGGCAAACAAUGCAGCUAUAAUAUCACUAAUGAACAUUAGAUUGAAAAAAAGCAUGAUCAAUUAUGCUUAGAACGAAGCUUCACAUAAAAACAAUUUUCAGUUUGUUAAGAUAAAAAUCAGUCUUAGGAAACCGUUCGGUAAAAAUAAAAUAAUAAUAACAGUAAUAAAUAAAGCUCAAUACUCUCAACAAUUCCUAUUUAUAAAUACAUAUGUACUAAGCACUAUCGUAUAAGAAAAGUCUAAGAAUGGAUCGGAAAGAGAAAAGAUUGAUCGAUCAUCGGUCAGUGAGCAAAAAGACCAGCUUUGAUACACAAGGACGGUCAUCGCCACAGACGUUAUUCCUUCGUGACCCAGUUUGUGUUCGCCUCAUGACGCACAUUCCAAUUCACCGACGCUCAGAAACACUUCUUUUUCCUCAUUCAAUUCCCUUUCUUCAUCCUCUACAUUUCCUUCUAUGAGUCCUCGAUAGUUCACUAACAUUUCGCUAGAUGACGUCACUAGUAACUACCAUUUCUGCACAAACUUAAUCAUAGAUUAAUACCAUUUAACGUCUUAACAGAUUCGCCGAUAAUUAUGUGAAAUCUUGAAAUACAAAAUCAUAGAAUUCUGUGAUUAAGACAAAGCUUAUUUUAGUCGUGGAAAAAUGUAGGAAUAUAGCAACAGUCGUUGUAGUAUGUUGAUGAGGAAACGGAAUUCUCUUUUAAUUUGAUUUUUAUCAAGACAUAUGUUUUGAAAAGCAUUCAAAGCAGUUUGUUGCAGAGAUAAAUACAAGGUCGAAGUCCUGGUUGGGAAAACAGAAAUGUAUUGUCAUCUGUUACGUGAACUAAUAAUAACUAUUAUUGUUAAUAUUGCGUAAUCGGAUCUGAUUAUUUUCUGUUGCGGUCGUUACUGAUAGUUUAAUUACAUCAAUAAUUUGAGGGACAAUUAAUUUGGAGGAGGUAAACGAUUUAGACUGUGCUGGUUUGUGGAAAUCUUUUAUUUCGAGAUUAGUAUAAGAGAUUAUGAGGAUAGAAGGGGAUUAGUGAAGGACUAAUUUAUCAAAGAAUUGCUUCAGGUAAAUCGAUCAAAAUAUAACUAUCUUUAUCACACGCCUAACAAAUCCUCCAUUAAAACAUGUGUUACGGAUAUACGAGGUUAUCUUGCAGUUCUUCCAGUUGACUUCGACAUCGCGAAAAUAAAGUGACUUACGAAGAUCUGCAAAUAAACGUGCAAUGUUAUGACGUAAUUGUAAUCGCGAUGGAUUCAUCAUCUUUUCUUUGCUCCCGCUUCACGUCAAUAUCAACAUUGUAUCAUCGAAUUCAGAUUCCGAGCAUCCAUCAUCGAUGUUCACAUAUUGCUCAAGGACGAUUUUGUUAAUCUCCAAGACGUUACAGCAACACGAUUUUCAUGGUCAUUUAUUUUUGCACCCCAUUAGAUCUUAAUUUUCUUGCACAAUUUAGCUAAUAUUACUAAUGAAAUUUUACAAGCCUUAGGUUAAAAGUUACCAAUAUCAAUCAGUUAGUUUGCGUCAUAGCAAUUUAUUUACAAAUUAUUUACAAAACCUACAAUCUACAAUUCGUAACUCGUCAAUUCACUAAUAUUACUAAUUAUAAAUUAUCAUAAAGAGUCAUAUACAAAAUGUUGACAUAACGGAAUAAAAUGGAGAACUCCAGAAAUCUAAGAAAAUAGGAAUGUACUAAGUAGGUUGAAAAUUUUAUCAUUUAAAAAUAUUUUACUAAAUUUAAUUCUAUGAAUGGAACUUUGUAAACAUGGAAAUAGAAAGAGAACCUAACAAAAAAAUGACUUAUAUAAAGAAAUAGUUAUAUGGAAAUAUAUUUGUAUAUGUUAUACAACAUGAGAUGUUAUAC
Molecule: long non-coding RNA, 1984 nt
Organism: Bombus pascuorum
Lineage: Eukaryota; Metazoa; Arthropoda; Insecta; Hymenoptera; Apidae
Exons: 3
Source: RefSeq, a predicted model, not a curated record